AGUAAGGGUAGUGCCGAACAUGUGCCGCCAUUUGACAUCCUACUAGUACUGUAAACAGCUGUGGAGAUGUUUUUCUUAGCCUAGCUACUAGACUAAGCUACAGCGUUGCAGUGAGCUACACUGGUUUGAAACCAUAGGGCCGACUUGCAGCGCAUUGGACAUGCCCUCUUAGGGGUGGGGUGUAUAUAUACGCCGUUUCCCCCCGACUGAGUAAAUAGUUUGAAUUGUUUUGCGCGUGAUGCCCGUGGUUGUCUGUCGCUGGACGAACACAGCGACAUAGGAAGACCUGAUUGCAGACUACGUGUCGUGUUUGUGCUGGUGCAUUGGCCGUUCUGUAAUUCGUAAGCAUAGUUUCUGACCACUGUUUUAACCAUGAAAAGUUGUCAUUGUGAAUAUUAUGUGCAAGUAUUCAUGUCUUGUGUUUUAUCCAGGAAAUAGGGUGACCACUGUUUUCCCUUACCUUUAUUUGUUUGUAAUUGUAGGUUGUGAGAGCCACCAACACAUUUCUUUUGGGUCGUUGUUUCCUUUUGUUUGUAUGAAUGUGUGUUAUUUUUAGUUAACUGCCAUCUGGGUGCUACCAACCUUCUGGAUGUAUUAGGCCUAGUGUAACCUUUGUGAUUGCCUCCGACAUCUUGCUGUGUGCUCAGAUCCCCAAACACAUUUGUGUGGAGUGUGUCUAAAUUUGUUUUAUCACGUUGUUCUGGAUUCUGUGUUAGCCUACUUGCAUUGACUGAUUUGUGAUUUGCAGUGUUAUAAUCCAGAUCGUGUUGAUUGUGUGGAAGAAAUUGCGAUCUCCUGUGUGCUUACAUUAUUCACUAAUCAAUAAAAGUAGUCAUUGGAUACUAGUUAGUAUGUUCUCAGGUAAGCGU
Long non-coding RNA from Hypomesus transpacificus, 869 nucleotides. RefSeq lists it as uncharacterized. The transcript is spliced from 3 exons. The record is from RefSeq and is a predicted model, not a curated record. NCBI's taxonomy places the organism in Eukaryota, Metazoa, Chordata, Actinopteri, Osmeriformes, Osmeridae.